CCUCCUUAGGCGGAGGGGAGGAUUCAGGGAAGCUUGGUUAAAAACAGUUAAGGCAGUGGGAGUCGCAGCGGAGGGUCUGAAGUUCACGACUACUAGAAGGGGAGGGGAGUGGAAAGGCUCUCAGUGAAAAAGAUGAACACCUUAAAACAUGAAGUUUUGAGAGCCUGAAUUCACACCGAGUUUAGGAUUUUGUUUUUAUCAGUUGAAAGCCAAAGAACAUUGUGACAAAACGUGUCUUCUCAUAGCCUUUCUAUGCUAAGGACAUUGUGACUCUCCAGAGAGCAACAGUGAUGGAUCUAGAAUGUCUAGGAAAAAGAAGGGCUUAAUGUCAGGAGUCUGCUUGGGGCACACCACACUAGAAGAUGUCCUCCUGCACAUUGUUUCAUAUCGAGUAUGGAACCCUUCAGAUCAAAGCUUACCAAUAAGUUCAGUAUGUAGAACAGAUUAACGUAGUUGAAGUGAGGAAGAAUGAGAGUUAUCCCAACCAGCCAGCACCCCCUACCCCCAUUCCCACACUUUCCCUCAUAGGAGGCUGCCGGGAGCACUUCAAAAACCACUGGAAAGGCCGGCACGGUAGCUCACACCUGUAAUCCCAGCACUUUAGGAGGCCAAGGCAGGCGGAUCAUCUGAGGUCAGGAGUUCGAAACCAGCCUGGCCAACAUGGUGAAACCCCAUCUUUACUAAAAAUACGAAAAUUAGCCAG
Long non-coding RNA from Nomascus leucogenys (northern white-cheeked gibbon), 703 nucleotides. RefSeq lists it as uncharacterized. NCBI's taxonomy places the organism in Eukaryota, Metazoa, Chordata, Mammalia, Primates, Hylobatidae. The transcript has 4 exons. The record is from RefSeq and is a predicted model, not a curated record.